UAUAAUGACACCUCCUUUUCUUAUGUAGGCUAUGUUUUUUUGGUUUUUAAUGAAUCCGGCCCAAUUCAUCUGUUAAGGUUCGUGGAUUCAUCUAUACAAGGUUUUUCUUUUUUUGUAUAAUUUUUUUUUCGGAAAUUCUUUUAUUUUGUGACAAUCUUUUGAAAAAACUCUAUUGGUUGUUGAUGUAAUCUUUUAAACAUGGUUUGAGAUCGUUUUUAAGUGUACUCGACCAUCUUUUGAGAAC
This 244-nucleotide long non-coding RNA is filed under the name Lathyrus oleraceus (garden pea). Its description in RNAcentral is "Pisum sativum (pea) long non-coding RNA (PSAT_LNC028634)". Lineage: Eukaryota; Viridiplantae; Streptophyta; Magnoliopsida; Fabales; Fabaceae. The record is from RNAcentral.